AUUGUAACUGUUUCAUAGCAUGGUAAUCAGAAGCUGCUCAAUGUUACAGUUAGUUGGUACGGGAAAUAGAGGGGUUAGUGUUCAAACCCAGGCAUGCGAGACUCCUCAGCAUAUGCUCUAUUUUUAAAAUUUAUUUCUAAUUAUUAUGGGUACAUAAUAGUUGUAUAUACUUAUGGGGUACACAUGAUGUUUUGAUACAGGCAUAUGAUGUGUAAUAAUCAAGCCAGGGUAAUGGGGUAUCCAUCACCUCAAGCAUUUCUUAUUUCUUUGUGUUAGGAGCAUUCCAAUUUCACUGUUUUAGUUAUUUUAAAAUACACAAUAAAUUACUGUUAAAUAUAGUCACCCUAUUGGGCUACUGAAAACUAGAUCUUAUUCAUUUUAUCUAACCAUAUUUUUGUUUCCACAAGCUAUCCCCACUGCCCUGUUACCCUUCCCAGUCUCUGGUAAUCAUCAUUCUAUUCUGUCCCCAUGAGUUCAAUGUUUAAAAUUUUUAGCUCUGACAUAUGAGUGAGAACAUAUGAAAUCUGUCUUUCUGUGCCUGGCUUAUUUCACUUAACAUAAUGUCCUCCAGUUCCAUCCAUGUUGUUGAAAUGAGAAAAUUUCAUUCUUUUUUAUGGCCAGAUAAUAUCCCCUUGUGUAUAUGUACCACAUUUUCCUUAUCCAUUCAUUUUUUUGAGAACACUUAGGUUGAUUCCAUAUUUUAGCUAUUAUGAAUAGUGCUGCAAUAAACAUGGGAGUGCAGAUAUCUCUUCAAUAUAC
This 759-nucleotide long non-coding RNA is filed under the name Pan troglodytes (chimpanzee). RNAcentral's name for it is "long non-coding RNA NONPTRT011327". The record is from RNAcentral. Lineage: Eukaryota; Metazoa; Chordata; Mammalia; Primates; Hominidae.